UUGGCCUGCCGGGACCCAAGUCACCAGGUCCCGCCGGCCAGUCGGAGACUCCGCGCCCCAGCUUGCCUGAUCUCAUCCUCCGAGGACGAUGGGAACGCUGACAUCCCUAGCAGCACCAUCAAGCUGGGAGGAAGGUGGACAUGCGCCAUCAGGGAAAAAGCCUUACGGGAGGGUGAUUUGGGUUUGGUGCGGGACCUUGAUUGCUUUGCGGCGCCAGUCAUUAUGAACCGAGGGACGGAACCGUGAUGGGAGCACAUUCCCUACACCGAGGUGAAGGAGUUGAAAAAGACGGCCACGGACUAUGGCUGCAAUUCACCAUAUUUAAAAAAUGUUCUAGAUCUAACUUUUACUGGACACACCUUAAUUCCCCAUGACUUACAAUAUGUUACUACCGCAUUGCUCUCUCCCACUGAAUUUUUACUAUGGGAAAUGCAAUGGAAAAAGCUGUUGAAGCCCAUUCUUUCCAAAUGUGAUUUAGGUGCUGUGCUGGGAGAAGGGGAAGAAGGCCUUGAAGCUUUGGCGGGGGAGGGGGAGUUCUCUAGUUUGGAAGACCAGGUCAUGUUACCUGCUGCUGUCUUAGAUGACAUCAAAACUGCUGCAAAAAGUGGUCUUUUAAAAAUACCUGACAGAACUACCCCCCUCUAAAACUUUUCUUUGAUCCAUCAAGGGAUUGAAGAGAUAUUUAUUAAAUUUGUCGACCACGUCCGAGAGGCCAUUGAACGCCAGAUAGACAAUGUUGAUGCCAGGGAUGAGCUCUUGAGGAAAAUGGCAAUGUCCAACGCCAACGUGGAAACAAAAAAUAUCCUUAGAGCUCUCCCGCAGGAGCCCGAGCCAACCAUACCACAGAUGGUGGAUGCAUGCACCAAGGCCUCCUCUCUAGAAAACACCUGGGCCUUGGCUGUCAGUAAGGGAGUCGGGGAGGCAGUGGUGAACAUAAACAAUGUCAGGUGUUUUAACUGUGGCCAAUUAGGCCAUUUCCAAGGUAACCGUCCUCAUUUGCCCCCCGGACAUUUUAAUUCACCCUCUGUGCCUUCACCAAGAAUGCCCAGAAACCACCAAUCCCUAUUUGCCCCAGACAUUUUAAUUCCCCCUAUGUGCCUUUGCCAAGAAUGCCUGGAAACCACCAAUCCCCAUACCAUCCGGGAAACGGGUGGCAGAGCGCGUGGCAGCUCCACGCGGAGACACCAAAUGGCAGGCCGUAUCACCAAAGUCUCCCGACCAUCCAGGAGACCCAGUUCCCGGACAGCUCAUUUCCCAGGAUCGGAGCCAUGAAGAAGGACUCAGGCCCUUCAGGAGAACCCGCAACGUAAACCAAGACACUGGUAGGAUUUUAUACAGCUGCAUCCACCUGUUUUUCAUCGACGAGGAUCUGGUAAGGUCUCUGCAGGGUACCUGGGUCCCUCUUACCAUGACCGCAGCACCACCGUGUUCCUCCUCGGAGACUCUCGCAUUACACCGCACAAACUUACCGUCCUCCCCGAGGUGGUGACCAUCGAUCCUGGAAAUGAAAUCACUGGUUCUGUAAUGUGUUAUAACCCACCCUAUACCCUGUGCAAAGGGUCCCCCUUUGCUCAAAUGUAUAUUUUAUCCGGACAAGACUAUCCAAAUGAUGACAAGGAUGUCCAUGUUUAUUACUCUAAGAAUUUCAGUAGGCAAAGACCACCUAUCUCCUCUGUUAUAUCCCAAAAAGGGUGAUUCGUCGAACUGGACGUGAUGGCAGACACCGGUACAGAUAUUACCAUUCUUCACAGGGCAGAGUGGCCUCGCGACUGGGAGUUCAUGUCCCCUUGUGGCACAAUUUCUGGCAUCAGGGAAGCUGUCAAUUCCUUGCGAAGCAAGCAUCAGGUAAGCGUGGAAGGGUCUGAGGGGCAGAUUGUCACCACUUGGCCAUUUGUUGUUUCUUCUAACAUCAGAUUACUUGGAAGGGAUGUUUUGUCCCAGUGGGGAGCCUGCCUCAAUAUCCCUGACCCCAAGUGGGAUUUUUAGUAUGGGCCACUGCAGAGUGCACAGCCUCACCUCUCAAUUGGAAGACCAACACACCAGUGUGGGCGGAUCAGUGGCCCCUCCCAGAAGAAAAAUUGACCGUGCUCCAUGAAUUAGUUGAGGAGCAAUGGUGCCUGGGGCACCUUGUACCAUCCACCAGUCCCUGGAUCACCCCUGUCUUUGUUACUAUAAUCCUGGCAAAGACAAGUGGCGCUUGCUCCAAGACCUACGUAAGGUCAAUGAGGUUGUCAAGGCUAUGGGCCCCCUACAACCUGGCCUCCCUUCUCCCUCCAUGCUUCCCCCGGGAUUUGCAGCUCACGAUCCUUGAUAUCAAGGAUUGCUUUUUGAACAUCCCGCUGUACCCCGGAGAUGUUCCCAGGUUUGCAUUCUCUGUUCCAUCUGUCAGCCAUGGAGAACGCUUCAAAAGAUAUCACUGGGUCACUUUGCCCCAGGGAAUGAAAAAUUCCCCCGUGCUCUACCAAACUUUUGUCACACAAGUGUUGUCUCCUGUGUGCAAGAUGCUCCUAGAAGCUAUAAUCUUACACUACAUGGACAACGUACUAAACUUAGACUCAGCACUAUCCAACACUGUGGCAGCAAUCGAAAACAGGAUUUCAGAUAGCUGAGGACAAAAUUCAGCUAUCGAGCCCAUGGAAGUACCUCGGGUUUUUAAUCACGGGAAGGACCAUCAUGCCCCAAAGCUUGUCCAUCAACGAACAUCCUAAGACCUUAAGAGAUAGGCAACAGCUGUGCAGUAUCAUCACGUGGAUCCGACCUUUCCUGGUCUUCACCACAAAGGAGCUGGCACCGCUCAUCGACUUUCUGCAGGGAGAUGGCGACCUGGCUUCCCCACGCUCGAUCACACUGGAAGUCCAUGAGGCCUUGGAGAAAGUUGCUGAUGCCAUCAAGCACUGCCAGGCACAUCGGAUCGACCGGUCCCUUCCCCUCAAUCUUGGUAUUUUUUUGCUCAAACAGUCUAUACCUGAUUCAUUUGAGAAGCAGAUGCCCACUCCCAGGACACCCCAAAACAUCUUAAGAGCGGCCACCACCAUCACUGCCCUCCUGUGCAUCCAAACAUCGGUCGGAUGGGUCGUGCCACAACCGAAAGAAAAUGUAUAGAUCACACUAGUGAAAUCUCUCAAACAAGAUAAUUUUUGCAUGGCCAUGGGAAGCGUAGAAGACCUGCUGUCUACAUGUCUGGAGGGAAUCCCCCUGUCACCAAACGAGUACCCAUAGACAGACCUCUUGGUGGACAAAGAAACCACCAGACAUGCCACCCUCCAGAACAGAGCGGCAGUCGACUUCCUGCUGCUCGCCCAUGGCCAUGGUUGUGAGGAUUUUGAAGGACUUUGUGGUUUUAACCUUUGUUCAAGAAGCACGUCGAUCCGAGCCAACAUCAAGCAAAUGCAAGACCAAAUGAAUACUCUUCUUACUGAUAAGAAGGUUGUGGACAUGAUGGACAAAACACUUAUGCAAUGGGGCGUUCCUGGGAGAGUGGCCCCCAUUCUUAAGAGUUUACAGUGGGUCUUUCUCAUCCUUGCUGUACUCUCAACAGCACUGAAGUGUUUUAAGAAAACCAGAGACAAAACUUUAGGAAAUGUUUAUUUAAUAAAUAAAAAGGGGGAAGAUGUGGGAGAUAGUCAUGGGAAUGAUGGGGCUGGAAUGCCCUGGGAGGACAGUGCUGUUUAGUUAGAGGCUGGCACAAAUCCCCAGGAGUCUCUGGUUGUUAAUGUGCUGUUGUCACUCAACUGCUGUUCAUCCCCCUGUUCUAGAGAGUUCUGUGCCCCCUCUUCCCCCACUGGCUUUCCCUGGGAAACCACCCCCACUCUGCUCCCUCAUUGGUGGACCCCAGUCACCCCAUUUCAACUCCUCCCCCGACUCCCUUCCCCAUUGCAUUAUUUGUACCCUGACCCCUCCUACCUUCCCCCAGUGAUAUACCCUGGCCUAUCCCCUGCUGGUUACUCUUGGCCCCUGGUUAUCCUCAGCAGAGGUUGUGCUCCUGUUUGUUCUCCUCACCCUCACCCCACCUGGACCCCUGGAUCUUCCCUAAACAAACCCUGCUGGAUCUGCCAAGCCAAGAGUGCCCUCGUCUGUCUGAGACUCCUGAAACUUAUGUUGGUUUGAUGUGACCAACAGAAGAGUUUGGCUCUGCUUUUAAUUGAAACAAGCAGCAGAGCUGGAACCUGUUGAAGAGAGUCUCUUCACAGCUAAAGGAAACUGCCAGGGUUCUUUUUUUCCAGCUCUGGGCAGGAAAAUAAAAAUCUCUCCGCAGUAAAUACUCCUGACCAGUAACUGAUAUAAACUAGGCAUUUGGGCUGUUUGCUGCCUCACCCCUGAGU
Long non-coding RNA from Passer domesticus (house sparrow), 4322 nucleotides. RefSeq lists it as uncharacterized. The transcript has 4 exons. NCBI's taxonomy places the organism in Eukaryota, Metazoa, Chordata, Aves, Passeriformes, Passeridae. The record is from RefSeq and is a predicted model, not a curated record.